AUGUGGAUGCGGAUGCGGGUGUGGAUGUGGAUGGGGGCUUGGCUGAGGGGGCGCAGCACUCUCCUGCGGCUUCACCGGGACAGGGGCGGGAGCAGCAUUGGUGAAGACAUCAACAAGCAGCUGCUGAGGUUGCGGCGGAGCAGCAAAAGCCGAUCUGGCGGCGUCGUAGGAGCAGGUGGAGGUGGGGGAGACAGCAGUCGGGGAGCCCCCGCCGCCGCCGCCGCCCCCUCCCCCUCCCCCUCCCCCUCCUCCAGAGGAAGGCACGGCCGGGGUAGGAGGGGGAGGCCCGCCGUCGGAGCACUGGGUGGACGACAGGCUGGCGAUGCUGUCCUUGCGCACAAUGCCGUUGACGGCCUCGAGGUACCUGAGGCCGGCGUCGAAGCCGGCGGCGCCCUCGCCUCCCUCGUCCCCGGGCGCGGCCGCCUCCGAGACGGGGAAGAUGAAGACCCGCAGCUUGGGGCUGGCGACGGCCAGCUUGUCGUACUCCUCCACCAUGUUGUCGAGAUCCUCGGGCGAGGAGACCGAGAUGAGCGCGUCGAGGCCCUCGUCGGGGAGCUGGUACUUGACCGCGAAGUGCGGGCCCGUGGCGCCGCCGUAGGCGUCGGCGAGGCGGGCCAGCAGGUCCUGCAGCGCCACCCCGCGCGGCACGGACACGAUCCGGGUGUCGCCGCCGGCGUACCGCAGCGUCCCGUCCCCGGGCCGCGGCAGGAUGCGCCCGCCGAGGCUGCACAGCAGCUUCAUCCGCUCCCCUCCUCCUCCCCCGCCCCCGCCGCCGCCGUCCUCGGCCAUCCCGCCGCGGCGGCGCGGGUCCGCCCCCACUCCCCUCCCCCCUCCCCUCCUUCCCCGGAUCUAACCCCGCAGGGCUCGGGCCGGGCCACAAACCAAACCCCCUCACCUCCACACCACCAGGAACCCUACCGCCGGCCGGAUUCGGGGACUCCGGCGGCGGCGGGCGGCUCAAUGCUCAGUCAAUUGAAAUUUUUUUCCGGGGGAGGGGAGUGGGGAGCGGGGGCGGGGGGUGGGGGGUGGGAGGGGUGCGUUCUACUCAAAAACCCUUGGCUCGCUCGCUCGCUCGCUCUCCCCGGCUGCUGCCUGCCUGGCUGGCUCGGCGUUGGUGUUGGCGUUGGUGUCCCCCUCGCCCCGGUUUUAUAUAUUUUCCGGGCCUUGGAUUUUCCCGUGCCGGAAUUUGGAGCCUUCCCUUUGGUUUUCCGUGUGGUUCUCCCCCCCGCCCCCUUUCUGUUUGCCUUUGGGCUUUGGAGCAUUGGCAAAACCUUGGGUUUGGGUUUUGAAUCUGUGGGUCUGUUGCGGAAGAGGCCAUUCGUGUUGGUGGAAUUCGGCCGGGCGCCCCACCUUCCGGUUUGUUAG
Molecule: ribosomal RNA, 1365 nt
Filed under: Triticum aestivum (bread wheat)
Lineage: Eukaryota; Viridiplantae; Streptophyta; Magnoliopsida; Poales; Poaceae
Description: partial small subunit ribosomal RNA
Source: RNAcentral